UAGGGAAUCUUCGGCAAUGGGGGCGAACCCUGACCGAGCAACGCCGCCGUGAGUGGAGAAGGUUUUCGGAUCGUAAAGCUCUGUUGUAAGAGAAGAACGUGUGUGAGAGUGGAAAGUUCACACAGUGACGGUAACUUGCCAGAAAGGGACGGCUAACUACGUGCCAA
RNAcentral lists this ribosomal RNA (167 nucleotides) under uncultured bacterium. RNAcentral's name for it is "partial 16S rRNA". It matches the Rfam family "Bacterial small subunit ribosomal RNA", at positions 355 to 511 of the family's 1533-position model. The record is from RNAcentral.